UACAGAGGGUGCGAGCGUUGUCCGGAAUCACUGGGCGUAAAGGGCGCGUAGGCGGCGCGGUAAGCGUGCGGUGAAAGCCCGGGGCUCAACCCCGGGUCGGCCGUGCGGACUGCCGGGCUGGAGCACUGUAGAGGCAGGUGGAAUUCCGGGUGUAGCGGUGGAAUGCGUAGAGAUCCGGAAGAACACCGGUGGCGAAGGCGGGUCUCUGGGCCGAUACUGACGCUGAGGCACGAAGGCCAGGGGAGCAAACGGG
Molecule: ribosomal RNA, 253 nt
Filed under: uncultured bacterium
Lineage: Bacteria
Description: partial 16S ribosomal RNA
Rfam family: Bacterial small subunit ribosomal RNA
Source: RNAcentral